UAGUUCUUUGCCUAAGGCUGAAGACUUGGGU
This 31-nucleotide non-coding RNA is filed under the name Rattus norvegicus (Norway rat). The record is from RNAcentral. Lineage: Eukaryota; Metazoa; Chordata; Mammalia; Rodentia; Muridae.